This is an RNA transcript of Hibiscus syriacus, 1046 nucleotides long. It is a transcript of the gene named calmodulin-binding protein 60 F-like, with no coding region annotated. NCBI's taxonomy places the organism in Eukaryota, Viridiplantae, Streptophyta, Magnoliopsida, Malvales, Malvaceae. The record is from RefSeq and is a predicted model, not a curated record. The transcript has 5 exons.
GUUUCCUUCUUGUUUUCCAUUGCUGUUAGAAGCAUAAUGAGAUUUGGAAGGCUUUCCUUUAAUAGAAUUGUGCUGAACCUGGAACCGAUGCUUCAAUCAUGGGUAAGGGAAGAAGUGGAAAGAGCAAUUUUGUCUUCCUUUCAACCAUCUUCAAGGUCAUUGACUAAUCAGAUUGAAGCAUCUAGAGGAAGAAGCUUGCAGUUACGAUUCGUCAAUAAACUACCCUCCACCAUAUUUACGGGACGCAAGGUUGAAGCCGAGGAUGGGGAGACCAUUAGGCUUAUCCUAGUCGAUGCAACUAUGGGAAUGAUGAUCUCAUCUGGUUCACUGUCUUCUAUUAAGGUUGAGAUUCUAGUCCUUAACGGUGAGUUUGGCACUGAUGAGCGAGAAGAUUGGACAGAAAGUGAAUUCAAUGCCAGUGUUCUUCGUGAAAGAGAAGGUAGAAGACCACUGGUGACGGGAUCUCAGUAUCACCUUGGUUGACGGUGUAGGAACAGUUGAUAAUUUGAUUUUCACCGACAAUUCUAGCUGGAUAAGAAGUCGAAAGUUUAGACUAGGAGCUAGAGUUAUGCAGAGAAUUCCUGGUGAAUCGACAAUCAGGGAGGCUACAAGUGAAGCAUUCAUGGUGAAGGAUCAUCGUGGAGAGUUAAUACAAGAAGCGCUACCCUCCCUUCCCUCAUGAUGAAGUGUGGCGUCUGGAAAGGAUAGCCAAAGAUGGUGCCUUCCAUAAACGGCUCACCUCUAAAAAUAUUUUCACAGUCAAGGACUUCCUGAGGUUGCAUGUUACCGAUCCAUCUGCACUGCACGAUAUACUCGGUAGUGGGAUCUCGAAUCGGGUAUGGGAUACAAUCAUAGAUCAUGCUCUGUCUUGUAUUCUUGAUGAUGAGUGGUAUUCCUACUAUGGAACCGCACAAAGCGUUGGACUCUUAUUAGACUCCAUUUACAGAGUUGUGGCAGCAACAUUGGAUGGCGAAAACUACCACCUUGUGGAAAAAUUUACCUUUUCUCAGAAGGUUAGUUUGUCAUAUCAUAAGAACUCAAAUAGA